UGCCGUUUGUGUAGUAGAGGUUUGGUGGAAUUGAAAUUUUGUGGUGGUUGGACGAGGAUUAGUGGGUCAGAUUUUGUGGGAUUUGGUUGAUAGUAAAGGUAGUGGGGAGUUGAGAGUAUUAUAUUGAAAUUUAUUUUAUUUUUAUUUUUAUUUAAUUUGUUUUCCAAAAUUUCUUCUUUUCCCCACAUUUUAUUUUUCUGUAAAUUUCCCUCUAACAUUAUUUUUUUAGUCCCUUCCUUUUUUACUUUCUUCAAUUCUGACAUCUUUUUACUCGAUUGGAUCACUUUGG
RNAcentral lists this long non-coding RNA (289 nucleotides) under Gossypium raimondii (Peruvian cotton). RNAcentral's name for it is "long non-coding RNA (GRAI_LNC000941)". Lineage: Eukaryota; Viridiplantae; Streptophyta; Magnoliopsida; Malvales; Malvaceae. The record is from RNAcentral.